Non-coding RNA from Marmota monax (woodchuck), 75 nucleotides. The record is from the annotation of a RefSeq genome assembly. NCBI's taxonomy places the organism in Eukaryota, Metazoa, Chordata, Mammalia, Rodentia, Sciuridae.
GCUGGGGUUGUGGCUCAGCGGUAGAGCGCUAGCCUGGCAUGCACGAGGCCCUGAGUUCGAUCCUCAGCACCAAUA